Molecule: ribosomal RNA, 407 nt
Filed under: uncultured bacterium
Lineage: Bacteria
Description: partial 16S ribosomal RNA
Rfam family: Bacterial small subunit ribosomal RNA
Source: RNAcentral
AUUGAACGCUGGCGGCAGGCCUAACACAUGCAAGUCGAACGGAGCGGCAGACGGGUGAGUAAUGCCUAGGAAUCUGCCUGGUCGUGGGGGAUAACGUUCGGAAACGGGCGCUAAUACCGCAUACUAUCAGAUGAGCCUAGGUCGGAUUAGCUAGUAGGUGGGGUAGAGGCCCACCAGGGCGACGAUCCGUAACUGGUCUGAGAGGAUGAUCAGCCACACUGGAACUGAGACACGGUCCAGACUCCUACGUGAGGCAGCAGUGGGGAAUAUUGAACAAUGGGCGCAAGCCUGAUGCAGCCAUGCCGCGUGUAUGAAGAAGGCCUUCGGGUUGUAAAGUACUUUCAGCGAGGAGGCGUUACUCGCAGAAUAAGCACCGGCUAACUACGUGCCAGCAGCCGCGGUAAUUC